RNAcentral lists this ribosomal RNA (818 nucleotides) under uncultured Aeromonas sp. RNAcentral describes it as "bacterial SSU rRNA". It matches the Rfam family "Bacterial small subunit ribosomal RNA", at positions 581 to 1397 of the family's 1533-position model. The record is from RNAcentral. Lineage: Bacteria; Pseudomonadati; Pseudomonadota; Gammaproteobacteria; Aeromonadales; Aeromonadaceae.
GGAUAAGUUAGAUAUGAAAGCCCCGGGCUCAACCUGGGAAUUGCAUUUAAAACUGUCCAGCUAGAGUCUUGUAGAGGGGGGGUAGAAUUCCAGGUGUAGCGGUGAAAUGCGUAGAGAUCUGGAGGAAUACCGGUGGCGAAGGCGGCCCCCUGGACAAAGACUGACGCUCAGGUGCGAAAGCGUGGGGAGCAAACAGGAUUAGAUACCCCGGUAGUCCACGCCGCAAACGAUGUCGAUUUGGAGGCUGUGUCCUUGAGACGUGGCUUCCGGAGCUAACGCGUUAAAUCGACCGCCUGGGGAGUACGGCCGCAAGGUUAAAACUCAAAUGAAUUGACGGGGGCCCGCACAAGCGGUGGAGCAUGUGGUUUAAUUCGAUGCAACGCGAAGAACCUUACCUGGCCUUGACAUGUCUGGAAUCCUGUAGAGAUACGGGAGUGCCUUCGGGAAUCGGAACACAGGUGCCGCAUGGCUGUCGUCAGCUCGUGUCGUGAGAUGCUGGGUUAAGUCCCGCANCGAGCGCAACCCCUGUCCUUUGUUGCCAGCACGUAAUGGUGGGAACUCAAGGGAGACUNCCGGUGAUAAACCGGAGGAAGGUGGGGAUGACGUCAAGUCAUCAUGGCCCUUACGGCCAGGGCUACACACGUGCUACAAUGGCGCGUACAGAGGGCUGCAAGCUAGCGAUAGUGAGCGAAUCCCAAAAAGCGCGUCGUAGUCCGGAUCGGAGUCUGCAACUCGACUCCGUGAAGUCGGAAUCGCUAGUAAUCGCGAAUCAGAAUGUCGCGGUGAAUACGUUCCCGGGCCUUGUACACACCGCCCGU